Molecule: ribosomal RNA, 450 nt
Filed under: uncultured bacterium
Lineage: Bacteria
Description: partial 16S ribosomal RNA
Rfam family: Bacterial small subunit ribosomal RNA
Source: RNAcentral
GUGAGGAAUAUUGGGCAAUGGGCGAAAGCCUGACCCAGCCACGCCGCGUGAGUGAUGAAGGCCUUCGGGUUGUAAAGCUCUGUGGGGAGGGAAGAAAAAGCGCAGGAGUAACUGCCUGUGUGUUGACGGUACCUCCUUAGCAAGCACCGGCUAACUCUGUGCCAGCAGCCGCGGUAAUACAGAGGGUGCAAACGUUGCUCGGAAUUACUGGGCGUAAAGCGCGUGUAGGCUGACAUGCAAGUCGGGUGUGAAAUCCCAGGGCUCAACCUUGGAACUGCACUCGAAACUGCACGUCUUGAGUACUGGAGAGGGAAGCGGAAUUCCGGGUGUAGAGGUGAAAUUCGUAGAUAUCCGGAGGAACACCAGUGGCGAAGGCGGCUUCCUGGACAGUAACUGACGCUGAGACGCGAAAGCGUGGGGAGCAAACAGGAUUAGAAACCCGGGUAGUCC